RNAcentral lists this transfer RNA (72 nucleotides) under Heterocephalus glaber (naked mole-rat). It matches the Rfam family "tRNA". From Rfam's summary of the family: Transfer RNA (tRNA) molecules are approximately 80 nucleotides in length. The record is from Rfam by way of RNAcentral. Lineage: Eukaryota; Metazoa; Chordata; Mammalia; Rodentia; Bathyergidae.
GGGGGUGUAGCUCAGCGACAGAGCACUUGCCUAGCAAGCUUGGGGCCUUGGGUUCAAUCUCCAGCACCACCA